RNAcentral lists this ribosomal RNA (827 nucleotides) under Bacillus sp. (in: firmicutes). RNAcentral describes it as "bacterial SSU rRNA". It matches the Rfam family "Bacterial small subunit ribosomal RNA", at positions 21 to 830 of the family's 1533-position model. The record is from RNAcentral. Lineage: Bacteria; Bacillati; Bacillota; Bacilli; Caryophanales; Bacillaceae.
GGCUCAGGACGAACGCUGGCGGCGUGCCUAAUACAUGCAAGUCGAGCGGACAGAUGGGAGCUUGCUCCCUGAUGUUAGCGGCGGACGGGUGAGUAACACGUGGGUAACCUGCCUGUAAGACUGGGAUAACUCCGGGAAACCGGGGCUAAUACCGGAUGGUUGUUUGAACCGCAUGGUUCAAACAUAAAAGGUGGCUUCGGCUACCACUUACAGAUGGACCCGCGGCGCAUUAGCUAGUUGGUGAGGUAACGGCUCACCAAGGCGACGAUGCGUAGCCGACCUGAGAGGGUGAUCGGCCACACUGGGACUGAGACACGGCCCAGACUCCUACGGGAGGCAGCAGUAGGGAAUCUUCCGCAAUGGACGAAAGUCUGACGGAGCAACGCCGCGUGAGUGAUGAAGGUUUUCGGAUCGUAAAGCUCUGUUGUUAGGGAAGAACAAGUACCGUUCGAAUAGGGCGGUACCUUGACGGUACCUAACCAGAAAGCCACGGCUAACUACGUGCCAGCAGCCGCGGUAAUACGUAGGUGGCAAGCGUUGUCCGGAAUUAUUGGGCGUAAAGGGCUCGCAGGCGGUUUCUUAAGUCUGAUGUGAAAGCCCCCGGCUCAACCGGGGAGGGUCAUUGGAAACUGGGGAACUUGAGUGCAGAAGAGGAGAGUGGAAUUCCACGUGUAGCGGUGAAAUGCGUAGAGAUGUGGAGGAACACCAGUGGCGAAGGCGACUCUCUGGUCUGUAACUGACGCUGAGGAGCGAAAGCGUGGGGAGCGAACAGGAUUAGAUACCCUGGUAGUCCACGCCGUAAACGAUGAGUGCUAAGUGUUAGGGGG